GUGCUCGCUUCAGCAGCACAUAUACUAAAAUUGGAAUGAUACAUAGAAGAUUAGCAUGACCCCUAGGCAAAGAUGACACACAAAUCCCUGAAGUGUUCCCUAUUUUU
Molecule: small nuclear RNA, 107 nt
Organism: Trichechus manatus latirostris (Florida manatee)
Lineage: Eukaryota; Metazoa; Chordata; Mammalia; Sirenia; Trichechidae
Source: RefSeq, a predicted model, not a curated record